RNAcentral lists this ribosomal RNA (432 nucleotides) under uncultured bacterium. Its description in RNAcentral is "partial 16S ribosomal RNA". It matches the Rfam family "Bacterial small subunit ribosomal RNA", at positions 29 to 506 of the family's 1533-position model. The record is from RNAcentral.
AACGAACGCUGGCGGCAGGCCUAACACAUGCAAGUCGAGCGAGGACUUCGGUUCUAGCGGCGGACGGGUGAGUAACGCGUGGGAAUGUGCCCUUCUCUACGGAAUAGCCCUGGGAAACUGGGAGUAAUACCGUAUACGCCCUUUUGGGGAAAGAUUUAUCGGAGAAGGAUCAGCCCGCGUUGGAUUAGGUAGUUGGUGGGGUAAUGGCCUACCAAGCCGACGAUCCAUAGCUGGUUUGAGAGGAUGAUCAGCCACACUGGGACUGAGACACGGCCCAGACUCCUACGGGAGGCAGCAGUGGGGAAUCUUAGACAAUGGGGGCAACCCUGAUCUAGCCAUGCCGCGUGAGUGAUGAAGGCCUUAGGGUUGUAAAGCUCUUUCAGCUGGGAAGAUAAGGACGGUACCAGCAGAAGAAGCCCCGGCUAACUCCGU